UCCUCUAGGGUUGUUAUGAUUUCUUCAAUUUAAUUUGGUGUUGAUUUCGAAAAAUGGGUUUGGUUGAAGUGGUUUGAUUUGUAAAGUUUUGUGGAUUUAGUGUCCUAAAUGAGUUUGAUUUUACUGGUUUCAUAUAUUUUCCCCUCUUUUUCCUUUCUCUCUCAUUAGUUUUAAAGCCCUAAUCCAUUAAUUGUAUAUGUACAUUUGACCCUUCAAUUUCAAUCAUUGCAUGCUUUUUAUAUCUAGUUUUGCUAAAGCAUGUCCUGUUUUUAUUUGCAAUCAGUAACUGUAAUUCAUCUAAAAUACAUUCGUAAAAUGUUGUGCCUUACCCAAUUGAGUUGGGGUUGCUCUCUCCAAACUUCUGUUAUAGCUAAUUUAUGGGAUUGUGGGGGUUUUUCCCCCCUGCAGGUGCAUUCUCAUUGAUAUUUCCAAGACUGGAGGAAGUCCUAAAAGAAAAAUUUUGUCGAGAGAAGGCACCUGUGGAUGGUUUCUACUCUAAUACUACAAGAUAACAAUGUCACAUUGCUGAAAUAGCAGUAAAAAGUGUCAGGUCAAUAGUUGCUUUAAAUCUUAAUAACUAUGCGAGUGGAAGAAAUCCAUGGGGUAAUCUGAAGCCCGAGUAUUUGGAGAAGAGAGGCUUUGUUGGAGCUCAUGUGAAUGCUGGUCUUCUAGAAAUUUUUGGCCUAAAACAAGGAUGGCUUGCUUCCUUUGUUUUGUCUGACCUUAUUUCUGCUAAACACAUGCCCAGGAACAAUCACUAGCUAAUGUGAAUAAUGUGAUGCAAAUGAAGACAAAACAUCGAUGUGGAUCAAAAUCAAUCCCGAUCAGGAUUCGAGAUUAGAUAUGGACAUGUUCGGUAAUCUGGAGAGCAGAAGCUGGCUCAUUUUGUGUUUUUGUUCAUUUUACCUUACAUGUAUUUUGGUUGCAUUGUAAAUUUUAUAUUUUUGUCGGUAUUACAGGACAUGUUUGGUCAUCUGCACUUGAUAUUAUAUUUUUGUGGAUAUUAGUAGUCAUGUUUUUUGUGGAUA
Camellia sinensis is the source of this 1028-nucleotide non-coding RNA. NCBI's taxonomy places the organism in Eukaryota, Viridiplantae, Streptophyta, Magnoliopsida, Ericales, Theaceae. The record is from RefSeq and is a predicted model, not a curated record.